GGCAAAGGGGGGAAGGGAAAGGAUUGACCCUCAGGGAUCAUAUUACUCAAGAAGACUGGGGGAAAAUAGCAGGAUUGGAAAAGCUCGAAGAGACUGAGGAAGACAAAUCCAUUGUCGAAUCCUGCAGAGUGAUAACAUCGAGUAGUGGGGGCUGGCUUCCACCCCUGAGAGAGCUUGAUUUACCAGAAAUCCCGCCGAGUCCUAGUGGGCCUAGAUUCCGCGAUAAGUUCCGAGAAAUGGAGGAAAUGAUGCAUUCAAAGUUCGCAGAAUUGCAAGAAAGACAAAAUCCUUGAAAGAAAAACCAAACAAGACCAGAUGUUCCCUAUUGUUAUUGGGAACGAGACUAAAUGUUCGGCCUUAAUGAGAUGGACCUUGAUUCCUCUCCGGCCAGGAAAAGAUGCGGCUCCUCUUUGUUCUACUACCUUCAUCCUCGGGUGAAGCCGGUUGGCUCACCAAACAAGAUAUAUACUGUGAAAUCAUUGGUAACCAUGCCUAACGGUCGGUCAUCUAAGCUAUCGGCCAAGGCAAGUGAGAGCUGUUCAAGAGUUGGGGGCAUAUCUUUAGCUCGAGCAGCAUCCGCUCCCGAAAUGUGAGUUAAGCUUUAAAAAAAGAAGAAGAGCUACGAGUGGAACAACUUCUUCUAUUCCUUGUUGGCCUCCAGCUCCUUCUGUCCCUCAAUCCUCUUCUCUGCCCUUUUUUUACUAUUAUGCGUGGCAUGCCCCCUGUUCGUAUCUUAACAGGGCAACCUUCUCUUGCAAACAAUCCCUUCGUCGCUAACACCGGUAAUGCCCCAUCCCUUUAAUACUACCUUCGAGGAAUUUCUCUCGCGUCCCUGUAGUGAUAAGAGCGCAUUCUCUAACAGCUUUGAAGCCGAGGCAGCCAUCCUCUUGCCAAUCCUAAACAAAAGAAAGAAAAGCCCUACCCGCCUUCAUUGGUUGAGUAAGGGGCAUUUACCUAUCAGUCCUAGUCCUAAGGCGCAAUCGGAGCACUAAGCCCAAUUACAGCUUGACUCCGUAAAUUAGACCUCAUUCUCCUAGUCCUAUUCCUGAUUGUUAUUUCGGAUUCUGUGCCUGGGUGGUAUCUUCUUACUAUUGAUUCAACCUCUUCGGGCAAACGUUGUCACUUCCUUUAUUUGAAAAAAGGGGUCUAGAACUACAGUGAUCUGAUACCUUCUUCCCUUGGUCUGGGUAGGUAGGUUAUGUAGGCUACAACUGUUCAUAGGUUGUUCGAUCGCAAAAGGCCAAAUAAUCGAUUACUAGUAUGCCGGAUAUUGCCAGGAGGCCCUUCCCCCUAUGUUUGACUCAUCCUAGAUGGGUUCACACCUGUUGAUUCCGGUCAAAGAAAAAAGCUUUUUCACGGCAUCCGUCCCAUCACACCAAUCUACGCCAAGAUAAAGAAUGCUGGGUUGCCAGGAACAAACCCUGUGAUUCAAGGUCUUGCCUAGAAUUGCCCUAAGAAAAAUGCACCCCAUUAAUUGAUCCCUCUUUAGGGUAGUAUAAGUACAUCCUCGACUAUAGCA
This 1519-nucleotide long non-coding RNA is filed under the name Hordeum vulgare. RNAcentral's name for it is "long non-coding RNA (HVUL_LNC019912)". The record is from RNAcentral. Lineage: Eukaryota; Viridiplantae; Streptophyta; Magnoliopsida; Poales; Poaceae.